Non-coding RNA from Eimeria mitis, 72 nucleotides. The record is from Rfam. NCBI's taxonomy places the organism in Eukaryota, Apicomplexa, Conoidasida, Eucoccidiorida, Eimeriidae.
GCCAUCAUAGCUUAGUGGUAGAGCAUCGGUCUUGUAAACCGAAGGUCGUGGGUUCGAUUCCCAUUGGUGGCU